GCCAGCGCCGGCCUCUCCCGCCUCCAACGCCCCCGCUUCCGCUUCCCGCCGCCGGGAGUCAGGGCCGGGUCCGGCAGCUAACCCGCUCCCCCAGCGCGCCGCUCGUCCGCCAUGGCCAGCUACACCAAGGCUGCCCAGCAAUGGGCUACCUUUGCCAGAGCCUGGUAUCUCAUAGAUGGAAAGAUGCAACCACCCGGAAAACUUGCAGCCGUGAGUGUAAUCAGACUUCAGGGGAAGCAUAAACCUAUGUAUCAUGCACUAAGUGACUGUGGAGACCAUGUUGUCAUAAUAAAUACGAGACACAUUGCAUUUUCUGGUAACAAAUGGGAACAGAAAGUAUAUUCUUCUCACACAGGUUAUCCAGGUGGCUUAAAACAAGUGACAGCAACACAACUUCACCUAAAAGAUCCGACAGCAAUUGUUAAACUGGCUAUUUAUAGAAUGCUUCCAAAGAACCUGCACAGAAGAACUAUGAUGCAGAGGCUGCACCUCUUUCCAGAAGAUGUUAUCCCAGAAGACAUACGUAAUAAUCUUGUAGAGGAGCUUGCUCAGCCACGCCGAAUCCCCAAGAGGUUAGAUGAAUACACACAAGAAGAAAUAGAUGCCUUCCCAAUGGUCUGGACUCCAUUAAAACUGCAGCUAUGCAGAUCAAUUUUCUUAUCCUCCUCAGACUAAGAUAUGCAUGGCACACGUGCUAGAAAAUGAGAGGCCCAUUAAUAUGAAGUAGACAAGCAGGGUAAAAAUGGAAAUAUUUUACGCAAUACUUUGAAACAGGAAUAUUGUUGAGAUACAGCAGAGUGAAUUAAGAAAGACCUAAAGAUUAUCGAAAAAUGUGAAAAAGAACUGGAAGAGGAAAGGAUGAAUUCCAGCAUCACAUUAACUUGGAAACCCACAUGCAUCUUAAUCAUCCAUUCUAUGUAGAGGACAGAUUUUUUUCAGGUACAAGGCAAAUUUGUUUGGGGAAGAUCAGUCAUCUUUAGUGUAAUGGAAACACCAAGCUAAACACUGAUAUAGUAUUUCUGACGUUACCUGUUUCAAAAUGUAUUGCAUGAAUCUGGCCUUUGAUGUUGAAUGUUAAUAAAAGGAUUUUUUUUUAUUUCUCUA
Molecule: RNA transcript, 1104 nt
Organism: Chelonia mydas (Green sea turtle)
Lineage: Eukaryota; Metazoa; Chordata; Testudines; Cheloniidae
Gene: MRPL13
Gene name: mitochondrial ribosomal protein L13
Exons: 8
Source: RefSeq, a predicted model, not a curated record